Molecule: long non-coding RNA, 575 nt
Filed under: Malus domestica (apple)
Lineage: Eukaryota; Viridiplantae; Streptophyta; Magnoliopsida; Rosales; Rosaceae
Description: long non-coding RNA (MDOM_LNC002566)
Source: RNAcentral
UUUAUAAAAGCACUGCAUGGAAAAGCAAAAAGCUGGGGUUCUAAUUAAGCCUUUAGAGACAUUAAUUACGAAUGAAUUAAUUACCUAAUAAAGUUAUAAUUAAACAAUUAAUCGUGCAGCUAAAGAUUAGUUUUCAGAUAACAUUCAAGAAAUUGAGUAAGGAAUAUCCUUAAUUAUCGGUCCCCCAACUUGACCGCCUUAAAAACAAAGGAAGGUAUACAUAGAAUUGAACGUAUACCAAAAUUUACAAAAGCAAUCAUUCAAGUGCUUAUCUUUGUUCUAUAACAAAGUAGAUUAUAAUUGUGCAAGUACAUGUUAAUACGCAAAGAGGAGUGCUAGGAUUCGAUCAGUGUUGGCAGUCUCGACCCCACUUGCCUUGGAUGUCCCAAAAGCAAGAAUGAUAUGAUUAACCGAUACAAAUGUGAAUGAUUUAUCGUAACAUUUUGAAUUAUGCAAACUUUAUUUUGUAUCAACGGCAGAGUCAGAAAUUAUUCAGUGAGUGAGUUAAGCAAAAAUUAUUACUACGAAAUCAAAUAUUCAUCUUUUUUUUGUUGCCUACAUAAAGUUAAACAAUA